RNAcentral lists this long non-coding RNA (916 nucleotides) under Homo sapiens (human). RNAcentral describes it as "HSALNT0090655". Lineage: Eukaryota; Metazoa; Chordata; Mammalia; Primates; Hominidae. The record is from RNAcentral.
GUUUUAUGGUUCCAGUUCUUAUGUUUAGGUAUUUUUAUCUAUUAGGAGUUGAUUUUGUAUAAAGUGUAAGAUAUGAGUCUAUUUUUAGUCUCUUUCAUUCAAAAAUCCAGUUUUACCAGCACCAUUUAUAAGACUAUUCUUUGCCCAUUGUGUCUUCUUGGUGUCCUUGUGAAAAAUUAAUUGCCCAUAUGUGUUUGAAUCUAUUUCUAGGCUUUCUAUUCUGUUCCACUAAUCAGUAUGUUUGUUUAUAUGCACAGCCGAUAUACAUGCUCAAAUGUCCGUGUUCAUUUCCUAUUGCCCUCAAGAGUGAUAGAUGCAGGAAGCAGAUAAGGAAGGGUCCCUGAAGAAUCUCCGACCCGCCCCACAAGUGUUUAUGUUUCAUGUUUUUGUGCAGACUAAUUUCUACCUUCAGCAAAAUGUCUACCAAAGUCAAGUAAUAGGGCCUGAUCUGAAGCCGCAAUGAGUCUUCAGAUGUCAAAUAUGCCCUGAAUGCUGUGAAUGCAGAAGAUGAAAUAAUUAAUAUCAACUGGGAGAGCCAAGGAGCAAUGGGGAGUUGUGAAAAUAUUUUGUCAUAUAAAUAACAUGAAAAUUCUAAACAAGACAGUGAUGCUAACGAUUAAUUGUCAGAGUCUUUUUAAGAUAAGAGUAUCAGUUUGGGAAUAUAAAGGUGAGUACUGGAAAGAUUAAUUGAAGGUUUUUAAUAUUUAUAAGUAACAUUUUAUGCCCUUCAAGGAUAUAUACGUAUGCAGGAGAAUAUAUUAAGCAUAUAAAAGUGGCAGAGAUCUAUAACUCUAUGCAUUUCAUGGGUAUAUACGUAUGUAGUUCAAUAGAUUAUAGUGUCCGGAGACUAGAAAAGGAGAAAAAUGAGUGUGGAGUAUUGGAUGCAUUAAUUAUUAUUUUAUACCAUUAGUGGAGA